Molecule: ribosomal RNA, 266 nt
Filed under: uncultured archaeon
Lineage: Archaea
Description: partial 16S ribosomal RNA
Rfam family: Archaeal small subunit ribosomal RNA
Source: RNAcentral
ACAGUCACACAAUUAGAUACCCGUGUAGUCCCAGCCGUAAACUAUGCUCGCUAGGUGUCAGGCAUGGCGCGACCGUGUCUGGUGCCGCAGGGAAGCCGUGAAGCGAGCCACCUGGGAAGUACGGCCGCAAGGCUGAAACUUAAAGGAAUUGGCGGGGGAGCACAACAACGGGUGGAGCCUGCGGUUUAAUUGGACUCAACGCCGGACAACUCACCGGGGACGACAGCAAUAUGUAGGCCAGGCUGAAGACCUUGCCUGAAUCGCUG